This 144-nucleotide ribosomal RNA is filed under the name Candidatus Muproteobacteria bacterium RIFCSPHIGHO2_02_FULL_65_16. RNAcentral describes it as "partial 16S ribosomal RNA". It matches the Rfam family "Bacterial small subunit ribosomal RNA", at positions 1 to 143 of the family's 1533-position model. The record is from RNAcentral. Lineage: Bacteria; Pseudomonadati; Pseudomonadota; Candidatus Muproteobacteria.
UUUAAUUGGAGAGUUUGAUCCUGGCUCAGAUUGAACGCUGGCGGCAUGCCUAACACAUGCAAGUCGCACGCGAAAGCGGGGCAACCCGCAAGUAGAGUGGCGGACGGGUGAGUAACGCGUAGGAAUCUACCUGGUAGUGGGGGA